Sinocyclocheilus grahami is the source of this 1556-nucleotide RNA transcript. It is a transcript of the gene named eukaryotic translation initiation factor 1A X-linked b, with no coding region annotated. The record is from RefSeq and is a predicted model, not a curated record. NCBI's taxonomy places the organism in Eukaryota, Metazoa, Chordata, Actinopteri, Cypriniformes, Cyprinidae. The transcript is spliced from 8 exons.
AAGAAGAGGCGAUCUGCGCAUGCGUCGUUUUUGUCAGCUUUUCUCGCUAGCGGCGCUGAUCUGCUCACAACCGCACGUUUGAGAAGUAAAAUAUUUGACAUAUUGUUAUAAUUCCCUAACGUUUCUGAUCAUUAUACGAGAGCCUUCGACGUCGUUUAAAGAACAUGCCGAAAAAUAAAGGAAAAGGAGGAAAGAAUCGGCGACGUGGUAAGAAUGAGAAUGAAUCUGAGAAAAGGGAGCUGGUGUUUAAAGAGGAUGGACAAGAAUAUGCUCAGGUCAUCAAGAUGUUGGGAAAUGGGAGAUUGGAGGCCAUGUGUUUUGAUGGAGUCAAGCGGCUUUGUCACAUCCGAGGAAAGCUCCGGAAAAAGGUGUGGAUUAACACAUCAGACAUUAUUCUCAUUGGAUUAAGGGACUACCAGGAUAACAAAGCAGAUGUCAUUUUGAAGUAUAAUGCUGAUGAGGCUCGGAGUCUAAAAGCCUAUGGAGAGCUUCCAGAACACGCCAAAAUCAACGAGACUGAUACCUUCGGGCCUGGUGAUGACGACGAGAUUCAGUUCGAUGAUAUUGGUGAUGAUGAUGAGGACAUUGAUGAUAUCUAAGAGGAAAACACUAGGAAGUGAAUGUUUCUCAACCCGAAGCGACAACAUCCUCACAUCCCCCCUGAAGUAGCCCCUCCAUCAUUAUGUACGCGGAGGCUCAAGUUUUAGAUUUCUCUGACUAAACACAUGACUGCAUUGUCACCUUCAAUCCAUUUUGUUAUCUUUUAAUGUAUUUAUAUUGAUUUCACAUCAAGUGGAAUUUAGUUACAGUACAGAAUCUAUGGAUUCGCAAUAAAAAGAUAACCAAUUUUAUGUUUGGUCUUGCAGUCUGUAUCCUAAUAGACAUGUUUAAAAGCUUUGUAAAGGUGAGUGAAACUCUUUUGGUAAAAGCUGAUACCUCUAGAACGCCUCUUGUCUUUUUGAAUGUUUUUGAAGUCUCUUAUAAUUUACUGACCACACAGUGAUGCAUUGGAUGAUGCAUUUAUUCAGAAAGCCUAUCUGAUUAGCUCUGUUUUAAUCUAUCGUAAUUUUCUUUUGUGUUUUUGUCUACUUCAGAUGAUAACAAUUGAAUACUCAUCUUGCAGGGCUGCUGAAUUUAUGAAAGUAACUAACUUGAAGCUCUAUGUAUUACUUCACAGUUGUUACUCAGAGUUACAACGUAAUGGCUUAAUACUAAACUACAGAAAACAUCAGCAACUGAAAUAUUUGUAAAAUGAAAAUGGAAACAUUUUUAUUUUACUUUCUAAAAUGAUAGCUCACAAAGCAAAUAACCAGAAUAAGGAAGUAUUUUUGUAUGCAAAAUGCAAAUAGGCUAAUCAAUGCAAGAAUUAUGAGAGUUUAUUGAUUGUGUUCUUGCAGACUGGCCCUUUUGAAUGAGCAUGGUGGUUGUUGGUUAUAACUUGUUAAUUUUAGGUGUAUUGUUUUGAUGAGCUUAUGAUGGUUGCUUUUUGUCCUCUGCUGCUUUUGAUCAGAAGACCUGUGAUUUUGAAAUAAAAUUCAACAACAUUCAAAAUCCUA